UACGGAGGGGACUAGCGUUGUUCGGAAUUACUGGGCGUAAAGCGCGCGUAAGCGGAUUUGCAAGUCGGGGGUGAAAGCCCGAGGCUCAACCUCGGAACUGCCCUCGAUACUGCAAAUCUCGAGUCCGAGAGAGGUGAGUGGAAUUCCUAGUGUAGAGGUGAAAUUCGUAGAUAUUAGGAAGAACACCAGUGGCGAAGGCGGCUCACUGGCUCGGUACUGACGCUGAGGCGCGAAAGCGUGGGGAGCAAACAGG
RNAcentral lists this ribosomal RNA (253 nucleotides) under uncultured bacterium. RNAcentral describes it as "partial 16S ribosomal RNA". It matches the Rfam family "Bacterial small subunit ribosomal RNA", at positions 524 to 776 of the family's 1533-position model. The record is from RNAcentral.